This 69-nucleotide transfer RNA is filed under the name Bos taurus (domestic cattle). It matches the Rfam family "tRNA". From Rfam's summary of the family: Transfer RNA (tRNA) molecules are approximately 80 nucleotides in length. Their secondary structure includes four short double-helical elements and three loops (D, anti-codon, and T loops). Lineage: Eukaryota; Metazoa; Chordata; Mammalia; Artiodactyla; Bovidae. The record is from Rfam by way of RNAcentral. RNAcentral also lists the same sequence under 2 other names.
CCUGGUGGCUCAGACGGUAAAGCGUCUGCCUACAAUGCAGGAGACCCGGGUUCGAUUCCUGGGUCAGGA